AGAAUAAUAAUUUACAUAAGCAUUGAUUACCAUAAUUUGACGAUUCUAUUUGACCAUCGAUUUGUUUUUUUUCUUUCAUCUAUCGUCUGACCAUAUUAGAACAAAUCCCAUGGAAAAAACUUGGUGGAUUACAAAAUAAUUGCUUUUCAUGUGAGAAAGAUAUUACCUGAUCACGCAGGUGUUCCAUGCAAAGGUGGUGAUUUUCGGAAAAGAGAGAGAGAGACAGAUAAAAGAAGAAAGAAAUAUAGGGAAAGAGAAGAAAGAUAAAAAGAUAAAGUUACGGGUGAACUUGGUGUGACAGAGAAAGACAGAAGAAUAUAGAAAAAAAAUCUGUAAAGUUAGAAAAA
RNAcentral lists this long non-coding RNA (347 nucleotides) under Polistes fuscatus (common paper wasp). RNAcentral describes it as "uncharacterized LOC122515440". Lineage: Eukaryota; Metazoa; Arthropoda; Insecta; Hymenoptera; Vespidae. The record is from RNAcentral.